RNAcentral lists this ribosomal RNA (253 nucleotides) under uncultured bacterium. Its description in RNAcentral is "partial 16S ribosomal RNA". It matches the Rfam family "Bacterial small subunit ribosomal RNA", at positions 524 to 776 of the family's 1533-position model. The record is from RNAcentral.
UACAGAGGUGGCAAGCGUUGUUCGGAAUUACUGGGCGUAAAGGGCGAGUAGGCGUCCUUCUAAGUCAGACGUGAAAUCCCCCGGCUUAACCUGGGAACUGCGUCUGAUACUGGGAGGCUCGAGUAUGGGAGAGGGAUGUAGAAUUCCAGGUGUAGCGGUGAAAUGCGUAGAUAUCUGGAGGAAUACCGGUGGCGAAGGCGGCAUCCUGGACCAUUACUGACGCUGAGGUGCGAAAGCGUGGGGAGCAAACAGG